GAUGAACGCUAGCUACAGGCUUAACACAUGCAAGUCGAGGGGUAACGAGAGGAAAGCUUGCUCUCCUUGUCGACGACCGGCGCACGGGUGAGUAACGCGUAUCCAACCUGCCCCCAACUAGGGAAUAACCUUGCGAAAGUAAGACUAAUACCCUAUAAUUUCCUCAGAUGUCAUCUGACGAGGAAUAAAGAUUUAUCGGUUGUGGAUGGGGAUGCGUCUGAUUAGCUUGUUGGCAGGGUAACGGCCCACCAAGGCAACGAUCAGUAGGGGUUCUGAGAGGAAGGUCCCCCACAUUGGAACUGAGACACGGUCCAAACUCCUACGGGAGGCAGCAGUGAGGAAUAUUGGUCAACGGGCGGAAGCCUGAACCAGCCAAGUAGCGUGCAGGAUGACGGCCCUAUGGGUUGUAAACUGCUUUUAUACAGGAAUAAAGUUAGCCACGUGUGGUUAUUUGUAGGUACUGUAUGAAUAAGGACCGGCUAAUUCCGUGCCAGCCGCCGCUGUAA
RNAcentral lists this ribosomal RNA (506 nucleotides) under uncultured bacterium. RNAcentral's name for it is "partial 16S ribosomal RNA". It matches the Rfam family "Bacterial small subunit ribosomal RNA", at positions 28 to 523 of the family's 1533-position model. The record is from RNAcentral.